Molecule: ribosomal RNA, 460 nt
Filed under: uncultured bacterium
Lineage: Bacteria
Description: partial 16S ribosomal RNA
Rfam family: Bacterial small subunit ribosomal RNA
Source: RNAcentral
CCUACGGGAGGCAGCAGUGAGGAAUAUUGGUCAAUGGACGCAAGUCUGAACCAGCCAUGCCGCGUGAAGGAAGACGGCCCUAUGAGUUGUAAACUGCUUUUGUACGGGGGUAAAAGCAGAUACGCGUGUCUGUCUGAAAGUAUCCUACGAAUAAGGAUCGGCUAACUCCGUGCCAGCAGCCGCGGUAAUCCGGAGGAUUCAAGCGUUAUCCGGAUUUAUUGGGUUUAAAGGGUGCGUAGGCGGUCGGAGAAGCUAGAGGUGAAAUCCCGAGGCUCAACUGCUGAAUUGCCUGUGAUACUGUUUGGCUAGAGUGUAGUUGCAGUAGGCGGAAUGUAUGGUGUAGCGGUGAAAUGCAUAGAUAUCAUACAGAACACCGAUUGCGAAGGCAGCUUACCAAGCUGCUUCUGACGUUGAGGCACGAAAGCGUGGGGAGCAAACAGGAUUAGAUACCCUUGUAGUC